GCUGGCGGCAGGCUUAACACAUGCAAGUCGAGCGGGCAUCCUUGUGGUGUCAGCGGCAGACGGGUGAGUAACGCGUGGGAACGUACCCUUUGGUUCGGAAUAACUCAGGGAAACUUGAGCUAAUACCGGAUACGCCCUUUUGGGGAAAGGCUUGCUGCCGAAGGAUCGGCCCGCGUCUGAUUAGCURGUUGGUGAGGUUAUGGCUCACCAAGGCGACGAUCAGUAGCUGGUCUGAGAGGAUGAUCAGCCACACUGGGACUGAGACACGGCCCAGACUCCUACGGGAGGCAGCAGUGGGGAAUAUUGGACAAUGGGGGCAACCCUGAUCCAGCCAUGCCGCGUGAGUGAUGACGGCCUUAGGGUUGUAAAGCUCUUUUCUCCGGGACGAUAAUGACGGUACCGGAGGAAUAAGCCCCGGCUAACUUCGUGCCAGCAGCCGCGGUAAUACGAAGGGGGCUAGCGUUGCUCGGAAUCACUGGGCGUAAAGGGCGCGUAGGCGGCUGAUUUAGUCGAGGGUGAAAGCCCGUGGCUCAACCACGGAAUGGCCUUCGAUACUGGUUGGCUUGAGACCGGAAGAGGACAGCGGAACUGCGAGUGUAGAGGUGAAAUUCGUAGAUAUUCGCAAGAACACCAGUGGCGAAGGCGGCUGUCUGGUCCGGUUCUGACGCUGAGGCGCGAAAGCGUGGGGAGCAAACAGGAUU
RNAcentral lists this ribosomal RNA (701 nucleotides) under Methylobacterium sp. PB135. RNAcentral's name for it is "bacterial SSU rRNA". It matches the Rfam family "Bacterial small subunit ribosomal RNA", at positions 35 to 779 of the family's 1533-position model. The record is from RNAcentral. Lineage: Bacteria; Pseudomonadati; Pseudomonadota; Alphaproteobacteria; Hyphomicrobiales; Methylobacteriaceae.